UGUCUCAGAGCUGGGAAGUGUUUUGCGACUUGCUCCUCUGUGUGUUCACCAUCUCUGGAGCCCCACCAGGAGCUCUGGGUGCAGGUGGAUGGCUCUGGAUGCAAGUGGAUGGCUCCAAAUGCAGGUGGAUGGCUCCAGGUGCAGGUGGAUGGCUCUGGAUGAGUGUGGAUGGCUCUGGAUGCAGGUGGAUGGCUCUGAAUGCAGGUGGAUGGCUCUGGAUGAGUGUGGAUGGCUCUGGAUGAGUGUGGAUGGCUCUGGGUGCAGGUGGAUGGCUCUGGAUGUGUGUGGAUGGCUCUGGAUGUGUGUGGAUGGCUCUGGGUGCAGGUGGAUGGCUCUGGGUGCAGGUGGAUGGCUCUGGAUGCAGGUGGAUGGCUCUGAAUGCAGGUGGAUGGCUCUGGAUGUGUGUGGAUGGCUCUGGAUGCAGGUGGAUGGCUCCAGGUGCAGGUGGAUGGCUCUGAAUGCAGGUGGAUGGCUCUGGAUGCAGAAUGGAUGGCUCUGGAUGAGUGUGGAUGGCUCUGGAUGCAGGAGGAUGGCUCUGAAUGCAGGUGGAUGGCUCUGGAUGCAGGUGGAUGGCUCUGGAUGCAGGUGGAUGGCUCUGGAUGCAGGUGGAUGGCUCUGGGUGCAGGUGGCUCCAGGUGAAGGACCCCCAUGCCACAGGUUUUCCUGCCAGCUCCAGUCACUGUCCCUCUCUCCAACAUCUGCCACGGGGUGAUGUCACGGCCACGGUCCCUUUGCUGUGUGUGUUCAGCUUUCAGGGAUGUUUUUCUUC
This is a long non-coding RNA of Myiozetetes cayanensis, 769 nucleotides long. RefSeq lists it as uncharacterized. The transcript is spliced from 2 exons. NCBI's taxonomy places the organism in Eukaryota, Metazoa, Chordata, Aves, Passeriformes, Tyrannidae. The record is from RefSeq and is a predicted model, not a curated record.